AUGGCGCCCAGGUCGGCCCCGGCGUCCGACACCAGCGUGGACAUGGCGCCGUCGCCGAGGACCAGCACCGUGACCCCCGCGCGCGCGUUGAUCUCGUCGCACACCCGCGUCUCCGUCAGGUACUGGUUGUACUGCUUGUACUCCGGGUGGCCGCUGAGGAAGGACGUGAUGUUGUGCGCGAUCCCCGCCGACAUCCCCCUCGCCGUCGCCGCCGGCGCCAUGCCGCAGCAGCAGGCCAGGAGGACCACGGCCACCACGCGCCGCAGCUGCGCCCCCGCCAUGGCCGAGCUCAGUAGUGGCCGACGCACUGAUGAUGGAUCGAUGGCGCUGAAAUGGACCGAGCACCUAAGCUGGCUGGCUAGCCGGAGUGAGCUGUGA
Molecule: ribosomal RNA, 378 nt
Filed under: Triticum aestivum (bread wheat)
Lineage: Eukaryota; Viridiplantae; Streptophyta; Magnoliopsida; Poales; Poaceae
Description: partial small subunit ribosomal RNA
Source: RNAcentral